RNAcentral lists this ribosomal RNA (400 nucleotides) under uncultured bacterium. RNAcentral's name for it is "bacterial SSU rRNA". It matches the Rfam family "Bacterial small subunit ribosomal RNA", at positions 355 to 772 of the family's 1533-position model. The record is from RNAcentral.
UGGGGGAUAUUGCACAAUGGAGGAAACUCUGAUGCAGCGACGCCGCGUGAGUGAAGAAGUAUUUCGGUAUGUAAAGCUCUAUCAGCAGGGAAGAUAAUGACAGUACCUGACUAAGAAGCCCCGGCUAACUACGUGCCAGCAGCCGCGGUAAUACGUAGGGGGCAAGCGUUAUCCGGAUUUACUGGGUGUAAAGGGAGCGUAGACGGAACGGCAAGUUUGAAGUGAAAUACCCGGGCUUAACUCGGGAACUGCUUUGAAAACUGUCGAUCUAGAGUGUCGGAGAGGUAAGUGGAAUUCCUGGUGUAGUAGUGAAAUGCGUAGAUAUCAGGAAGAACACCGGAGGCGAAGGCGGCUUACUGGACGAUAACUGACGUUGAGGCUCGAAAGCGUGGGGAGCAAA